CAAAUCAUGUUGAAUAUAAAUAUUGUACUGACAUUUCACUGUACAGUAUAUGGAGCAGUAUACACAAGUCAUUGUCUGUAUGACACUUUAGUUUGUACUGACUUUGCUAGUGCUUUUUAUGUAGCCUGUUGUAAAACUAGGCAACUAGCUAGACGAGUUAAUGUAUCCUUUGGAAGACCUCUGGAUACCCCCAGGGGUACAUGUAACCCUGGUUGAGAACCACUGCUCUAUGGUUUGCUGGAUGUCAGAGUUAAUGGCCAGAAAAAACCAUCAGAUCAUCUAGUCCGACCUCGUGCGUAACAAAGGUCCCCAAAACCACUCAGGAGCUGCACACUAAACCCAACAACAGAAGUGAGACACUGUCCAAGGCUAAGCCCAAGUUUAAUACCCAGGAGGCUAUCCUCAGUGUUAUUGCACAGGCCAUCACUCUAAAACAGUGGUUUUCAACCUGUGAUCCAUUGA
Molecule: long non-coding RNA, 462 nt
Organism: Gopherus evgoodei (Goodes thornscrub tortoise)
Lineage: Eukaryota; Metazoa; Chordata; Testudines; Testudinidae
Exons: 3
Source: RefSeq, a predicted model, not a curated record